RNAcentral lists this ribosomal RNA (468 nucleotides) under uncultured bacterium. RNAcentral describes it as "partial 16S ribosomal RNA". It matches the Rfam family "Bacterial small subunit ribosomal RNA", at positions 28 to 507 of the family's 1533-position model. The record is from RNAcentral.
GACGAACGCUGGCGGCGUGCUUAACACAUGCAAGUCGAACGGAAAGGCCCUGCUUUUGUGGGGUGCUCGAGUGGCGAACGGGUGAGUAACACGUGAGUAACCUGCCCUUGACUUUGGGAUAACUUCAGGAAACUGGGGCUAAUACCGGAUAGGAGCUCCUGCUGCAUGGUGGGGGUUGGAAAGUUUCGGCGGUUGGGGCUGGACUCGCGGCUUAUCAGCUUGUUGGUGGGGUAGUGGCUUACCAAGGCUUUGACGGGUAGCCGGCCUGAGAGGGUGAACGGCCACAUUGGGACUGAGAGACGGCCCAGACUCCUACGGGAGGCAGCAGUGGGGAAUAUUGCACAAUGGGCGGAAGCCUGAUGCAGCAACGCCGCGUGCGGGAUGACGGCCUUCGGGUUGUAAACCGCUUUCGCCUGUGACGAAGCGUGAGUGACGGUAAUGGGUAAAGAAGCACCGGCUAACUACGUG